Molecule: non-coding RNA, 2595 nt
Organism: Nothobranchius furzeri (turquoise killifish)
Lineage: Eukaryota; Metazoa; Chordata; Actinopteri; Cyprinodontiformes; Nothobranchiidae
Source: RefSeq, a predicted model, not a curated record
UAGCAUAAUUCAUACUUCUCCAUCAGCUCCAUGAGGGAGCUUUAUUGUAACAGCAUUUCUCCACCGCGCUCAUCUCCCAUGAGUCCAGCAUCACUCUUUUGUUUCCUUUUGGUUUGGAGGUUCGUGAGCGGCACGCGCUCCAGACCUGCGUCAUAGUCCCGCCUCUUAGCUUGAUUGACAGCAGCUUUUUUUGCCUCACAAUCAGUUUAUACAAGAUUCAAAGACAAAAUGGGAGACAGUCAAAAAUGUCGGAUGGUGUCUCAACUAGCAGGAUCUGUGAAAAAUAGUGUAGAUUCAGGACUGUCCCACAGAGAGCAGGAACCUUGGUCACCCUAACAGCAGCAUAGCAGCACUCCGCAUGGGACAGAGCCUCAGAGCCAGUCUGGAAAGGUGAGCAGGAUCAAACCAUUGUUGAGACGGGAGGUUUGCUGUAUUUUUGUUUUUAAAACAUUAUAUUUUGACCUAUUGUAUGUUUACGUGAUAACAGCUAUGUUACAGGUUUGAUCAGAGAGAAGGAAAAACUCUGGCAUGGAUUUUUCAUAUGUAGGGUGGUGGGGGCUUUUGCCAGAACGAUGCUCUGAAGAACAAGUUCAGCAUCAGCAGGGACAUGUCUACAGGAACAGAGACAAUGACAGGACAGAAGCUGCAGCCUGGAGACACAGCUGUUUGCUACUGUGUGAGACGCCCACACUGAUACAGAGAUGCCUGCAGAAAAACUCGAAUCACCGAGAAACAGUUAGAAAUAAGAAGAAAACAAUUGAAUGUCUACAGCACUUUAUAUUGUAUGAAACACAAAGAUGCACCGUAAUUACCAAACAAGACGAAAACAAUAAGAUGUGACAACUUGUAAAAGAGAAAUACCAGUUUAGACCAGUUUAAGAGAAAAAAGACAAGUAAAUCAAGACCCAGAUGUUAAACCUCCACCGUCUGAAAUACAAAUGUAAUCUAUUCGAUCAGCCUGCUGAAAAAUAUUAUGAUGCUUUGUUGUUAUUCAACUGAAUCAUAGCAAGACAACAAAGUUUCUUUCAUACAAGCUUUACUUAAUCAGCAGAUUGGAGCCUGAACAUGAAAACAGCAGGAAUCGUUUUCUAGAACCUGCUGCUUUUAACAGAUUUUGUGUUUGGAAACAUCAAAAGUGCAGUUUUCUUAGAAAGCACAAACAGUAAUAAAAUACACAAAUAAACAAGCAUGCUUUCAUCCUGACAGAAAUGAUAGGCUGUGUCUCAAUUCAGGGUCUGCAUCCUACCUCGGCCGGAUUCGUCGGCCGGUUACGUCACAGCGCCGCGACUCGGCCUGUCCCAAUUCGAAGACUCCUUCAAAUGCGGUCGACGAAUGCGGCCUUCUUUUCGCCUGAAUGAAGGAUGGGUCGGGUGUAUCCUUCAAUAGGUAGCAUUUCCCAAGAUGCCUUGCGGGCCGGCCGGCAGAAAAACUUAAAAACAAUGGCGGACAGUGAAGCGGGAGCUGUCGGAGAGGAUUGCGCAUAUACAUGAACAAAAGAGAAAACCAGGGAAUUUAUUAAGCUUAGGACGGAGAUGGACCACAUGAUCACUGGAGCAAAGUAUUCGGCGGCUGUGGCAUGGAGACUAUUCUGGAGAAAAUGGGCAUCCAGGGGAAGGUGCCAGCGAUGAGCUUCUGGAGCUGAUCUGGGAGGACAUGAGGCUGCAGAGGGAGGCAGAGCUGCAGAGGGCCCAGGAGAGAAGGAAGAACUUUGACAGCUUUUUACUUUGCUAGAAAAAAAUGGUUAAGGAAGAUUAAACAUGUACAUGUAAAAGAAAUAUCUAAAUAAAAUCAGUUCUGCAUUAAACUCUUGAAUUUUAUUUUUGUUUACAAAUGAGAAUUGUUUACUAGAAGGUAUCCGCUGGGUCUUGAAAAGUCUUAAAAGGUGAUAAAUCGGUUUUGGUCAAAUUAAGACCCUUAGAAAGUAUUAAAAACUAUUAUCACAUCUUUGCUCAGGCUCAGCUAGUCUAAAGUAUUUUCUCUGAAUUAGCUCUCCAACAGUCAAGGAAAUGAUUAACCCCCAGAGACCCACGGUUGUAAUAUUACAACAUCAGAUUUAAGUCUACAAGAAUAAACCUUCCCCAUUUUUUUUUCUUUUUAAAACCACAUUUACAUUGCUAAUAGGUCCUAUUGUUCAGUUCUGCAACACUAUUGGCUGUUAAAAUGUGUAAAUAGGCCCGUUUAUCUGGCCUCCUAGAACAUGCGAAAGGUUAAAAAAAUAUUUUGCAGUUGUUUUCUAAAUUUGGGUUUCUGGGGGUUAAAAAGCUAAAUAAAACGUCGAGCUCCAUCGUUUAAAGUUCCUUCUGCCCAGCGGUUCCACGGUUGCUAGGCGACGGAACGUUCGCCGAGGGAGUUCAUGAAGGCUAGGCCUGUCCAAAUUCACAGCCGUUAACAUCCGGUCUACCCGGCCGACGGAGGACGCAGCCCACGUCGGCCGGGUGGGCUGGGUCCUUCGAAGGAUGCAGACCCUGAAUUGAGACACAGCCAUAGAUUCACUUUAUAAAAAGUUACACUGAGAUUUUUAUUUCCUGGCAUCAAAUCAUGGAGGAAGAGGAGGAGUCACAUUAAUCUGAGCCUUGUCCAUCUUCGUCUAGUUCA